GACGAACGCUGGCGGCGUGCUUAACACAUGCAAGUCGAACGGAAAGGCCCUGCUUUUGUGGGGUGCUCGAGUGGCGAACGGGUGAGUAACACGUGAGUAACCUGCCCUUGACUUUGGGAUAACUUCAGGAAACUGGGGCUAAUACCGGAUAGGAGCUCCUGCUGCAUGGUGGGGGUUGGAAAGUUUCGGCGGUUGGGGAUGGACUCGCGGCUUAUCAGCUUGUUGGUGGGGUAGUGGCUUACCAAGGCUUUGACGGGUAGCCGGCCUGAGAGGGUGACCGGCCACAUUGGGACUGGGAUACGGCCCAGACGCCUACGGGAGGCAGCAGUGGGGAAUAUUGCACAAUGGGCGGAAGCCUGAUGCAGCAACGCCGCGUGCGGGAUGACGGCCUUCGGGUUGUAAACCGCUUUCGCCUGUGACGAAGCGUGAGUGACGGUAAUGGGUAAAGAAGCACCGGCGAACUACGU
RNAcentral lists this ribosomal RNA (467 nucleotides) under uncultured bacterium. RNAcentral's name for it is "partial 16S ribosomal RNA". It matches the Rfam family "Bacterial small subunit ribosomal RNA", at positions 28 to 506 of the family's 1533-position model. The record is from RNAcentral.